GAGAAAGGCUGGGGGCGUGCUUAACACAUGCAAGUCGAACGAAGUUUUUCUUUCGGGAGGAACUUAGUGGCGGACGGGUGAGUAACGCGUGGGUAACCUGCCCUGUACAGGGGGACAACAGCUGGAAACGGCUGCUAAUACCGCCUAAGCCCUUAGCACUGCAUGGUGCAUAGGGAUAAGGAGCAAUCCGGUACAGGAUGGACCCGCGUCUGAUUAGCCAGUUGGCAGGGUAACGGCCUACCAAAGCGACGAUCAGUAGCCGAUCUGAGAGGAUGUACGGCCACAUUGGGACUGAGACACGGCCCAGACUCCUACGGGAGGCAGCAGUGGGGAAUAUUGCACAAUGGAGGAAACUCUGAUGCAGCGACGCCGCGUGAGUGAAGAAGUAUUUCGGUAUGUAAAGCUCUAUCAGCAGGAAAGAAAAUGACGGUACCUGACUAAGAAGCACCGGCUAAAUACGUG
Molecule: ribosomal RNA, 462 nt
Filed under: uncultured bacterium
Lineage: Bacteria
Description: partial 16S ribosomal RNA
Rfam family: Bacterial small subunit ribosomal RNA
Source: RNAcentral